RNAcentral lists this ribosomal RNA (253 nucleotides) under uncultured bacterium. Its description in RNAcentral is "partial 16S ribosomal RNA". It matches the Rfam family "Bacterial small subunit ribosomal RNA", at positions 524 to 776 of the family's 1533-position model. The record is from RNAcentral.
UACGUAGGUGGCAAGCGUUGUCCGGAUUUACUGGGCGUAAAGAGCGCGCAGGCGGUCGUUCAAGUCGAGUGUGAAAGCCCCCGGCUCAACUGGGGAGGGUCACUCGAUACUGAUCGACUCGAAGGCAGGAGAGGGAAGUGGAAUUCCCGGUGUAGUGGUGAAAUGCGUAGAUAUCGGGAGGAACACCAGUGGCGAAGGCGACUUUCUGGCCUGUUCUUGACGCUGAGGCGCGAAAGCUAGGGUAGCAAACGGG